AUGGGCUGGCCAGGUGCCUCCAUCACUAUCAAUCUCGCAUCGAGAUGUCGACGGCAAUUCCAUGAUACCCGGUGUGAAGAAAUAAGUGCGGAUAAUCUAAUACCAAAGGACUUGGCCCUCAAAAUUGCAACCAAGAUUAGAGCUGGCGAACGAUUUUCAGUUUAUGUAGUCAUACCAAUGUGGCCUGAAGGAAUCCCUACCUCAGCCUCUGAGCAGGAUUUUUUUCUUUUAGGUAAGCUCUAUUUUUGUAAAAGCAUUAUAGCAGUUAUUCUGCAAAAAAUUACACGCUGA
Molecule: ribosomal RNA, 291 nt
Filed under: Triticum aestivum (bread wheat)
Lineage: Eukaryota; Viridiplantae; Streptophyta; Magnoliopsida; Poales; Poaceae
Description: partial small subunit ribosomal RNA
Source: RNAcentral